UACGUAGGGGGCUAGCGUUGUCCGGAAUCACUGGGCGUAAAGCGCACGUAGGCGGAUUUCUAAGUCCGGGGUGAAAUCCUGGAGCUCAACUCCAGAACUGCCUUUGAUACUGGCGACCUUGAGUCCGGGAGAGGUGAGUGGAACUGCGAGUGUAGAGGUGAAAUUCGUAGAUAUUCGCAAGAACACCAGUGGCGAAGGCGGCUCACUGGCCCGAUACUGACGCUGAGGCACGAAAGCGUGGGGAGCAAACAGG
This 253-nucleotide ribosomal RNA is filed under the name uncultured bacterium. Its description in RNAcentral is "partial 16S ribosomal RNA". It matches the Rfam family "Bacterial small subunit ribosomal RNA", at positions 524 to 776 of the family's 1533-position model. The record is from RNAcentral.